CAGCCGCCGCGGGAAUACGAAGGGUGCAAGCGUUAAUCGGAAUUACUGGGCGUAAAGCGUGCGUAGGCGGUUUGUUAAGUCUGCUGUGAAAUCCCCGGGCUCAACCUGGGAAUGGCAGUGGAUACUGGCAAGCUAGAGUGUGUCAGAGGAUGGUGGAAUUCCCGGUGUAGCGGUGAAAUGCGUAGGGAUGUGGAGGAACACCGAUGGCGAAGGCAGCCCCCUGGGCCAAUACUGACGCUCAUGCACGAAAGCGUGGGAAGCAAACAGGAUUAGAUACCCGCGUAGUCCCUGUCUCUUAUAC
Molecule: ribosomal RNA, 301 nt
Filed under: uncultured bacterium
Lineage: Bacteria
Description: partial 16S ribosomal RNA
Rfam family: Bacterial small subunit ribosomal RNA
Source: RNAcentral